UACGGAGGGUGCAAGCGUUAAUCGGAAUUACUGGGCGUAAAGCGUGCGCAGGCGGUUUGUUAAGUCUGCUGUGAAAUCCCCGAGCUCAACUUGGGAAUUGCAGUGGAUACUGGCAAGCUGGAGUACGGUAGAGGAAGGUGGAAUUCCCGGUGUAGCAGUGAAAUGCGUAGAGAUCCGGAGGAACACCAGUGGCGAAGGCGGCGUCCUGGCCUGCGACUGACGCUGUGGCGCGAAAGCUAGGGGAGCGAACGGG
RNAcentral lists this ribosomal RNA (253 nucleotides) under uncultured bacterium. Its description in RNAcentral is "partial 16S ribosomal RNA". It matches the Rfam family "Bacterial small subunit ribosomal RNA", at positions 524 to 776 of the family's 1533-position model. The record is from RNAcentral.